AACGAACGCUGGCGGCAUGCCUAACACAUGCAAGUCGAACGAGACCUUCGGGUCUAGUGGCGCACGGGUGCGUAACGCGUGGGAACCUGCCCUUAGGUUCGGAAUAACUCCCCGAAAGGGGUGCUAAUACCGGAUAAUGUCUUCGGACCAAAGAUUUAUCGCCUUUGGAUGGGCCCGCGUUGGAUUAGCUAGUUGGUAGGGUAAAAGCCUACCAAGGCGACGAUCCAUAGCUGGUCUGAGAGGAUGAUCAGCCACAUUGGGACUGAGAUACGGCCCAGACUCCUACGGGAGGCAGCAGUGGGGAAUAUUGCACAAUGGGCGGAAGCCUGAUGCAGCAACGCCGCGUGCGGGAUGACGGCCUUCGGGUUGUAAACCGCUUUCGCCUGUGACGAAGCGUGAGUGACGGUAAUGGGUAAAGAAGCACCGGCUAACUACGUG
Molecule: ribosomal RNA, 438 nt
Filed under: uncultured bacterium
Lineage: Bacteria
Description: partial 16S ribosomal RNA
Rfam family: Bacterial small subunit ribosomal RNA
Source: RNAcentral